RNAcentral lists this transfer-messenger RNA (404 nucleotides) under Flavobacteriales. RNAcentral describes it as "JABDLZ01 sp013001705 Standard tmRNA". It matches the Rfam family "transfer-messenger RNA". Rfam says of the family: Bacterial tmRNA, also known as 10Sa RNA or SsrA, is named for its dual tRNA and mRNA-like properties. Its role is to liberate the mRNA from a stalled ribosome. The record is from RNAcentral. RNAcentral also lists the same sequence under 1 other name. Lineage: Bacteria; Pseudomonadati; Bacteroidota; Flavobacteriia.
GGGGCCGACCUGGCUUUGACAGCGUGUCGAUUCCUCGUGUAAGCAUGCAGAGCAUUGGGAAUGCGCUCUUUAAUCUGGACUCCCAAGCCAUAUUUGGCGACAACAACUACGCACUCGCUGCAUAAUCGGUCUAAGACCGAUCAUCUUAAUCCACUCCGAUAGUCGGGGGGACGAGUUACCCGGGUGAUGAUUCCUGUUCUACUGUCAUCACUGAUCGGGUAUCGUUGAGUAGAACUAGGGACCUGACUCACUCUUAGAAAGGCCCGAAAUACCCAAUGAGUUAAGCUUGAGUUCGGCUGUCCUUGGCCAGGCUCAGGUCGAAAAUCCAAUCAAGGAAUAAGCAUGUAGAAAGCCCGAAAGGGAUUCACGUUUGGACGGGGGUUCGACUCCCCCCGGCUCCACCA